Molecule: ribosomal RNA, 494 nt
Filed under: uncultured bacterium
Lineage: Bacteria
Description: partial 16S ribosomal RNA
Rfam family: Bacterial small subunit ribosomal RNA
Source: RNAcentral
GACGAACGCUGGCGACGCGCUUAACACAUGCAAGUCGAACGGAAAGGCCUGCUUUCCCUUGUGGAUUGCGGGUACUCGAGUGGCGAACGGGUGAGUAACACGUGAGUGAUCUGCCCCCAACUUGGGUAUAAGCCUGGGAAACUGGGUCUAAUUCCCGAUAGGACUGCAGGGUGGUGCCUGUGGUGGAAAACGAUUUUCUAGUGGUUGGGGAUGAGCUCGCGGCCUAUCAGCUUGUUGGUGGGGUAAUGGCCUACCAAGGCGGCGACGGGUAGCCGGCCUGGGAGGGUGGACGGCCACAUUGGGACUGAGAUACGGCCCAGACUCCUACGGGAGGCAGCAGUGGGGAAUAUUGCACAAUGGGCGGAAGCCUGAUGCAGCGACGCCGCGUGGGGGAUGACGGCCUUCGGGUUGUAAACUCCUUUCGACCGCGAGGAAGCCACCUGGUUGGAAGGGUGGUGACGGUAGUGGUAGAAGAAGCACCGGCUAACUACGUG